AUAAAAAUAAAAAAAAUCUAUAAAUUUACAUAUUUACCAUAUAAUCCAUUUUUUUUUUAUAUUUAUCUCCGUCAUAUUUAAGACGUGGAUGAGACUGAAACUGAAAAAAUUAUAAAUCCAUCACCACUUUAAUCAUAUUGUGCCAAACCAAUUAAGAAAAUCUUUUCUAACUUAAUUAAGUGUUGCUAUAUUGAGAUCUGUUACUGGACACACACGUGUUACAAUUUAAAGAAGCCACGUUACCAUU
This is a non-coding RNA of Arachis ipaensis, 247 nucleotides long. Lineage: Eukaryota; Viridiplantae; Streptophyta; Magnoliopsida; Fabales; Fabaceae. The record is from RefSeq and is a predicted model, not a curated record.